RNAcentral lists this small RNA (1436 nucleotides) under Arabidopsis thaliana (thale cress). RNAcentral's name for it is "ATSL041900". The record is from RNAcentral. Lineage: Eukaryota; Viridiplantae; Streptophyta; Magnoliopsida; Brassicales; Brassicaceae.
AAAAUGAGAAAUACAUGCUACUUAUAGCCAAAUAUCCCGAAAUCCUAUUACCCAAAACGACGAAGUAUUUGGACGGGUUAAGAACUGUACUCGACCCACGUGGUCGAGUGAUAGGUCGAGUGAAUAGCUGGAGUCUUCUUUUCUUCCUUGUGCUCGAGUGUCUGGUUGAGUGCAGAAUGAAGAAGGCUCUGAAGCUUGUCAUCGAGUAUGCAGUCGAGUGGUGUGGUGGAGAUACUCGACCUCUUGGUAGAGUGAGUAGGUCGAGUGGUUGUCUGAUGAUGGAGGUGAAGACACUCGACCUCAUGGUCGAGUGAAGUGAUCGAGUGAGGGUCUGGUGAUGGAGAUGAUGGCACUCGACCUCGGGGUCGAGUGGUGAGGUGAAGUGGUGAUGUCUUCUACUCGACCUGGUGGUCGAGUGGUUUGUCAUGAUCAUGUCCGCUUCUUCCAGAUAGCUCGUCAACAGCUCCAAAUCACCUGAAAUCAACGCAAAUAUGCAACAUGCAUGCAAAACUAUCCUAAACACGCAAAGUGAUGAUAAAUGUUGUGAAAUGGUAUAAAACAGUGAUGAUAUGAUGCUAAAAUGAUGACAAAUGGAUGCUCAAAACAUGCAAAAUACACACUUAUCAACUCCCCCAAACUUAGUCUUUGCUUGCCCUCAAGCAAACAAUCAAGAACAAGCUGGAGGUGAGGUUUGAAAGCGGGGACUCAGAGCCAAAGCACUAGAUAAACCAGAUGAAAUCAAUGUCCAAGUUAAAAGUUCUAAGCUGCAAGAUCGAAUUUUACUUAAAAACGUUAGCCAUGCCUCAUCAAUCAAUCAAUCCGACUCAUAUGCUCGACCUACACAAGUUUUCAAAUCUACCAAUCCCUUUAACAUUCAUUAGUUCUGGAACGUGAAUCAAGCAAUGCAUCAUCAAAGAACUCAUUUGGCUAAGGUAAAAGGUCAAGAGACAAAGAUGGUCCCUUACAGAAUAGUCUUCAGUAACAAGGGAUCUCUCAAAAAAUGAUUAAGCUUUAGUAGAAUGCUAAAGGUAAGUCCCAAGCUAUGCAUACAGAGAUAAGAUCCCAUCUACCCAGUGUAUAUCAAAUGAAGCUCUAAUGGUAAUCCCAUCUCCCAUCUCAAUACAAGAACUAAACUCUACCCUUUGCAUUCAUGAAUUUUUUGUAGCCCUUUUUCGAAUCAUUCUUUUCUUUUUCUCUUAACUCUAGGAGAAGCUUCAACACUUUGAUAUAUCUAGCGGAUUUGGAUUUCUUUAACAACUAAGGUUCCUGUUUUUAACAUUUUAAAACCAAGGGCUUUUGCCCAUCUUCAAUAGCUAACAAGAACUCUUUCUUUUCUUUACAAAUCCCAAAACCUUUACUAGACUUUUUCUGCUUCUUUAGCUUACUUCACCUAGAGUCCUUUACCUUUUCUCAUCAAUGAAUCAACCCCCUCUUUU